CCUACGGGAGGCAGCAGUAGGGAAUUUUCGUCAAUGGGGGGAACCCUGAACGAGCAAUGCCGCGUGAGUGAGGAAGGUCUUCGGAUCGUAAAGCUCUGUUGUAAGAGAAAAACGGCACUCAUAGGGAAUGAUGAGUGAGUGAUGGUAUCUUACCAGAAAGUCACGGCUAACUACGUGCCA
This 180-nucleotide ribosomal RNA is filed under the name uncultured bacterium. Its description in RNAcentral is "partial 16S ribosomal RNA". It matches the Rfam family "Bacterial small subunit ribosomal RNA", at positions 338 to 510 of the family's 1533-position model. The record is from RNAcentral.